GUUAGUUUGUUCGUUAGGUUUAACUUUACCGUUAAACCGAACGGAACGUAACCUUAACCUGACUUAAAGUUAAACGUUAAACCNGUAUUUUUUAUCAGGUUGACAACUUCUUAGAGGGACUAUCGGUGUUUAACCGAUGGAAGUUUGAGGCAAUAACAGGUCUGUGAUGCCCUUAGAUGUUCUGGGCCGCACGCGCGCUACACUGAUAAAGUCAACAAGUAAUUAACCUUUGCCGGAAGGCAUGGGUAAUCUUUUGAAACUUCAUCGUGCUGGGGAUAGGGCAUUGCAAUC
RNAcentral lists this ribosomal RNA (291 nucleotides) under uncultured fungus. Its description in RNAcentral is "partial small subunit ribosomal RNA". It matches the Rfam family "Eukaryotic small subunit ribosomal RNA", at positions 1290 to 1591 of the family's 1831-position model. Lineage: Eukaryota; Fungi. The record is from RNAcentral.